This 482-nucleotide ribosomal RNA is filed under the name uncultured bacterium. RNAcentral's name for it is "partial 16S ribosomal RNA". It matches the Rfam family "Bacterial small subunit ribosomal RNA", at positions 30 to 507 of the family's 1533-position model. The record is from RNAcentral.
AUUGAACGCUGGCGGCAUGCUUUACACAUGCAAGUCGAACGGUAACAGGCCGCAAGGUGCUGACGAGUGGCGAACGGGUGAGUAAUGCAUCGGAACGUGCCCAGUCGUGGGGGAUAACUACUCGAAAGAGUAGCUAAUACCGCAUACGAUCUAUGGAUGAAAGCGGGGGACGGUAAGGCCUCGCGCGAUUGGAGCGGCCGAUGUCAGAUUAGGUAGUUGGUGGGGUAAAGGCUCACCAAGCCAACGAUCUGUAGCUGGUCUGAGAGGACGACCAGCCACACUGGGACUGAGACACGGCCCAGACUCCUACGGGAGGCAGCAGUGGGGAAUUUUGGACAAUGGGCGCAAGCCUGAUCCAGCAAUGCCGCGUGCAGGAAGAAGGCCUUCGGGUUGUAAACUGCUUUUGUACGGAACGAAACGGCUCUGGUUAAUACCCGGGGCUAAUGACGGUACCGUAAGAAUAAGCACCGGCUAACUACGUG